RNAcentral lists this transfer RNA (85 nucleotides) under Pseudolysinimonas kribbensis. RNAcentral's name for it is "tRNA-Leu". It matches the Rfam family "tRNA". From Rfam's summary of the family: Transfer RNA (tRNA) molecules are approximately 80 nucleotides in length. The record is from RNAcentral. Lineage: Bacteria; Bacillati; Actinomycetota; Actinomycetes; Micrococcales; Microbacteriaceae.
GCCGGAUUGGCGGAAUGGCAGACGCGACCGACUCAAAAUCGGUUGUCCGAGAGGACGUGAGGGUUCGAGUCCCUCAUCCGGCACC